UAUAUAUAUAUCUGUGUGUGUUUGUGUGCACGCGUAUAUAUGUAUCAUACACACACAAACACACAUACCUAUAUACAUG
This is a non-coding RNA of Podarcis lilfordi (Lilford's wall lizard), 79 nucleotides long. The record is from the annotation of a GenBank genome assembly. NCBI's taxonomy places the organism in Eukaryota, Metazoa, Chordata, Lepidosauria, Squamata, Lacertidae.